RNAcentral lists this ribosomal RNA (253 nucleotides) under uncultured bacterium. RNAcentral's name for it is "partial 16S ribosomal RNA". It matches the Rfam family "Bacterial small subunit ribosomal RNA", at positions 524 to 776 of the family's 1533-position model. The record is from RNAcentral.
UUCAGAGGGUGCAAGCGUUGUUCGGAAUUACUGGGCGUAAAGGGCGCGUAGGCGGCUUUUUAAGUCAGGCGUGAAAGCCCCAGGCUCAACCUGGGACGUGCGCUUGAUACUGGAAAGCUAGAGUAUAGGAGAGGAAAGCAGAAUUCCUAGUGUAGAGGUGAAAUUCGUAGAUAUUAGGAAGAAUACCGGUGGCGAAGGCGGCUUUCUGGACUAUUACUGACGCUGAGGCGCGAAAGCGUGGGGAGCAAACAGG